This 639-nucleotide ribosomal RNA is filed under the name uncultured Akkermansia sp. Its description in RNAcentral is "bacterial SSU rRNA". It matches the Rfam family "Bacterial small subunit ribosomal RNA", at positions 20 to 681 of the family's 1533-position model. Lineage: Bacteria; Pseudomonadati; Verrucomicrobiota; Verrucomicrobiia; Verrucomicrobiales; Akkermansiaceae. The record is from RNAcentral.
GAAUUCACUAGUGAUUUGGCGGCGUGGUUAAGACAUGCAAGUCGAACGAGAGAAUUGCUAGCUUGCUAAUAAUUCUCUAGUGGCGCACGGGUGAGUAACACGUGAGUAACCUGCCCCCGAGAGCGGGAUAGCCCUGGGAAACUGGGAUUAAUACCGCAUAGUAUCGAAAGAUUAAAGCAGCAAUGCGCUUGGGGAUGGGCUCGCGGCCUAUUAGUUAGUUGGUGAGGUAACGGCUCACCAAGGCGAUGACGGGUAGCCGGUCUGAGAGGAUGUCCGGCCACACUGGAACUGAGACACGGUCCAGACACCUACGGGUGGCAGCAGUCGAGAAUCAUUCACAAUGGGGGAAACCCUGAUGGUGCGACGCCGCGUGGGGGAAUGAAGGUCUUCGGAUUGUAAACCCCUGUCAUGUGGGAGCAAAUUAAAAAGAUAGUACCACAAGAGGAAGAGACGGCUAACUCUGUGCCAGCAGCCGCGGUAAUACAGAGGUCUCAAGCGUUGUUCGGAAUCACUGGGCGUAAAGCGUGCGUAGGCUGUUUCGUAAGUCGUGUGUGAAGGGCGCGGGCUCAACCCGCGGACGGCACAUGAUACUGCGAGACUAGAGUAAUGGAGGGGGAACCGGAAUUCACGGUGUAGCAA